CAAGUUCCAGUGUUCCCCCAGCACCCGUGACCAUGGAGUCAUAGAAUCACAGAAUUAGAGAAUCAUAGAAUGCUGGGUUGGAAGGGACCUCAAGGAUCGUCUGGUCUAACCUUUCUUAGCAAAAGCGUGGUCUAGAUAAGAUAGCCCAGCACCUUGUCCAGCUGAAUCUUAAAGGUGUUCAGUGUUGGGGAAACCAUCACUUCCCCACAGGAAGAAAAAGGACUUUUCUGCUGUACAUCUGGAGUCUGAAAAUGACCAAGGAAGCUGCCUGAACUCUCUUACAACCUAAAAUGGUUCAGCCUUACUAUGGACUGAAUAAGGACAGCCAACCUUACAAACAGCCAUACUUACCAACUGCAUCUGUUUGCCUAGAAGAAAAAAAAUUAUGAAUUAUUUUCUGUAAUCAUAAUCCUGUAUUUUGGCUCCUGUCAGUUUGUGAGUAACAAACCAAUCUCAGUCCCACAAAUUUUAAAAGAGAACAAAACCCCAUGAAGUAUAUAUAACAUUAGCUGAAUGGAACUAAAAUAGCCAUCCAUCUCGCAAGGAGAAAACCACACUUGAUCUAGGGAAAAGGACUGUAUUCUCCUUGUGCUGGAGAUUAAAAAUAUAUCAUAUCUAAUAUGAAACAAAAGCAACACUAUUCCCAGUAUAGAGAUGAAAACCAGAACUUCUAGAGUAAAUCUGAAGGGAUAAAGGAGUUACUAAAAAAUCACGUGACUAUGAGUCCUUGCUAACAUUUCUCCACUUGUCAGUCUACUAUUUUCACAAUUUUUAAUGUUUCUUUGCUUGCAUCUUACACUGUACAGUCUAUAUUAGGGCUCCUUAAAACAUCCCGUGGAAAAUCUUGGCACAAAAGACAAUCUUGAGACAAUGCCACCUCCAGCCCACCACUUCUGCUGCAUGUACCACCCCAGCAGCAGAUGCAUCCUCACCACCAGAGUUCCCUUCCUUAUUGGGUGUGUGGUGUAUAAUCAUGGUAUAUAAUAAAGCUAUUAUGUGUACAGUGAUGAGUGCUCUGAACUGAAACAAACCAACUCAGGCACCGAGAGAUGGAGACAUGGAUCUGGCUGAAAGAUUUUCUCCCCAGGUUAGUCUGUAGGUGAAUUUACUCCGCAGGUAGCCAUGCAAACAGUUGUGCUGCAUGUCCACAGGAAAUGGAUGUACAGCUGAGCUCUGUGAGACAGGGAAACCAUUUUUAAUUAUCUCUUCAAAGCUCACAUAUUAAGUGGAAGCACAUAACACACAGCCUUUACAAAGGUCUCUAACACAAAUUCACUGAAUUUUAGGUGACACUGUUGUAAACAGGGUUCAGACCAGAACAAUAAUGCAUCCUCAUGCUGUCUCCUGCUCUAGUCUCCUCAUGACUCUGAGCUAGUGCUUAAGCAUAGGUCAGAUCAUUUUGAAAGUCCAUUCUGUUCCUUCCCUGCUGUAUGUGGUUUCUUUUAUUCUUCUACCCUAUUCUAUAUUUACCCUUAGUCAUCUGUCCUUUUCCUUUUCUCUAUCAAAAAUGACUAGAGAAAAGUGUUUUCUAUUAUUGUCUCCCUUUGAUGUCUCCAUAAGACUCAACAGGCAUCUCUGGUGAUGCUGAUGUGAAUUCAGAAAUAAAAAUAUUGUGAAGUAUACUGUGAAAAUACUCCAAAAUAUCCCCCAAAUGGCAACCAACAUUUUAUUCCAGUCAAAAUUAUUUUCCCUUCUAUUUUUCUGUGUGACCAAUAAACCAAUCCCUUCUUUAGCUUUGGCCAUUCUCUCCCACCAACCCCUUACUCUCACUCUUGGUCUUCCUUCUACAUCUGCUAGCCGUCCUCAGGUGCCAGGACAUAUUUAACAUCACCAAAGAUAAGAGCUUUCCAAUUAUUAACUACAGUGUUAAAUGGACAUACCUUGCCUUGAUCAGUAAUGCAUUGUUGUGUAUAAAUAAUGAGUGCUGUGUAUAUAUGCAGCUUCACUCAGCAAGGUGGAGUAGGACAUAGGCAGGAAUUUGUGAUUUUGUCCACACUGGUGGCUGCUCAAGAAAGAAAUGUUCAGCUCAACUAAUAGACAUCCUUCUCCUUAGGGUAAAGUGCAGACAGGACAGACAUCUACCUCCAGGAGCCUGAAGCACAAAUUUUAACUUGUGAUACCCACAGCUGUAAUCGCAGUGUGUAAACUGACUGGUGUUACUUCACCUACAUGAAAAUCCACUCACAAGCUAAUCUCCUGUUUAAUCUAGAGAGGUGAAGAUUAAGUGAAAGUUGCAAGAAGUUGCUGUAUGCCUUCCUAUAUUGAAAUAGGAACAAAAUGUCUUUUGAAAAUUUCAUCCAGAUGUUUUUUCUAAGACUGUCUUGUUGCAGUUUUACGUGCGUGCUCACAUACACAUGCACACACGUGUGUGUGCACACACACUGUCAUGUAGAUUUUUUAUUCCCUCAUGCAUUUCCUCCUUCCUGAAAUAAAUACAGUUUGUGGAUGAAGAAAUGUAGGUUUGCAAGCUUCCCAAGAUAACAGCAUUGUCUGGAUUAGACCACAUUUCCUUGUUUCCUUCCACUGCCAUUUCAAGAAUUUAUCAUUAAAAUAAAACUCUUAAAAGACAGAGAAGAGUUGGGCUUAAAAGACAGAGAAGAGCAUUGUUGGGCUUUUGGGAUAGCUGCUGUGGCGGCAUGGCACCCCAGAGAGAAUUGAGUUGGACAAUGGGACUCAUUUAAAAAAUAGCCUCAUAAAUACCUGGACUAGAGAGCAUGGUAUUGAGUGUGUGUAUCAUAUUCCCUAUCCUGCACCAACCUCUGGGAAAAUUGAAUGGGACAAUGGACUGUUGAAUACCACACUGAAAGCAAUGGGUGGUGGAACCUUCAGACAUUGGGAUACACAUUUAGUGGAGGCCACCUGGUUAUUUAACACUAGAGGCUCCACCAAUAGAGCUGGCCUUGCACAAUAAAAACCUCCCUGGAUGAUUAAAGGGGAUAAAGUCCCUGUGAUGCAUAUGAGGAAUGUGUUAGGGAAGACAAUUUGGAUUAGUCCUGCUGCAAGCAAAAGCAAACCCAUCUAUGAGAUUGUUUUUACUCAAGGGCCUGGGUGUACUUGGUGGAUAAUGCAGAGGAACGGGGGAGCGCAAUGUGUACCUCAAGGGGACUUGAUUUUUGGGUGAGAACAGUCUGUAUUGUUGAAUUGUAUAAUACUGGUUGCUGAAUGACACUGCCACUGUAUGCCAUAACUACCAUGGACAAUGAGCAUGGAUUGCUUCAGAUACACCACUCGUGAGCUCCUUAUGCAUCUUAUAACCAGCAGACAGCUCACCAGCUCUCGGCUCUGGAAGACAUCUAGGACAGAUAGAACCCACAGUCAUGGACUAAAUGAACUCAACAGACAACUUCCAUUGACUAUGGAAAUGAUACCUGAGCUUGUGUGUAGAUAUAAUGAUAGAUAGAUAGAUAUAGAUAUAGGUAUAUGUAUAUAUGUAUAUAACUGGAAGGUGUAGGAUCUGGGCAUGAUGUAGAUGGUGUAAAAUAAGGGCUGGAUAAUGUCCUGGUUCUACCCAGGACAGGGUUAAUUUUUGCAGUGGCUAUGACCCGGAGGCUACUCUAUACCACCUCACCUUCCAGUCAGGGUAGCAUUGUGCAGUCAGGUAUUGUCGGGGCUUUUCCAUGUGGUGAACUCUCAUGUAUGAAUCAUUCACCAUUCUUGUACACCCUUUUAUUAAUAUUGUUGCUGUUACUGUUAAUUUAUUAUUUCAUUGCUGUUUCCAAUAAAUUGUUCUUAUUCAA
Molecule: long non-coding RNA, 3737 nt
Organism: Pseudopipra pipra
Lineage: Eukaryota; Metazoa; Chordata; Aves; Passeriformes; Pipridae
Exons: 2
Source: RefSeq, a predicted model, not a curated record